AAUCAACGCUGGCGGCGUGCCUAACACAUGCAAGUCGAACGCGAAAGUCCCGCAAGGGAUGAGUAGAGUGGCAAACGGGUGAGUAACACGUGGGUGACCUGCCUUCGAGCGGGGGAUAACGUCCCGAAAGGGACGCUAAUACCGCAUGACAUCCUGCCUUUGAACAGGCGGUGAUCAAAGCUGGGGAUCGCAAGACCUAGCACUUGAAGAGGGGCCCGCGCCUGAUUAGCUAGUUGGUGAGGUAACGGCUCACCAAGGCGACGAUCAGUA
RNAcentral lists this ribosomal RNA (270 nucleotides) under uncultured bacterium. Its description in RNAcentral is "partial 16S ribosomal RNA". It matches the Rfam family "Bacterial small subunit ribosomal RNA", at positions 32 to 285 of the family's 1533-position model. The record is from RNAcentral.